GACGAACCGUGCGAACGUUGUUCGGAAUCACUGGGCGUAAAGCGCGCGUAGGCGGACCUGCAAGUCGGGGGUGAAAGCCCGAGGCUCAACCUCGGAACUGCCUUCGAUACUGCGGGUCUCGAGUCCGGGAGAGGUGAGUGGAAUUCCUAGUGUAGAGGUGAAAUUCGUAGAUAUUAGGAAGAACACCAGUGGCGAAGGCGGCUCACUGGCCCGGUACUGACGCUGAGGCGCGAAAGCGUGGGGAGCAAACAGG
This 253-nucleotide ribosomal RNA is filed under the name uncultured bacterium. RNAcentral's name for it is "partial 16S ribosomal RNA". It matches the Rfam family "Bacterial small subunit ribosomal RNA", at positions 524 to 776 of the family's 1533-position model. The record is from RNAcentral.